CUGAUGGAGCACGCCGCGUGUGUGAUGAAGGCUUUCGGGUCGUAAAGCACUGUUGUAUGGGAAGAAAUGCUAAAAUAGGGAAUGAUUUUAGUUUGACGGUACCAUACCAGAAAGGGACGGCUAAAUACGUGCCAGCAGCCGCGGUAAUACGUAUGUCCCGAGCGUUAUCCGGAUUUAUUGGGCGUAAAGCGAGCGCAGACGGUUGAUUAAGUCUGAUGUGAAAGCCCGGAGCUCAACUCCGGAAUGGCAUUGGAAACUGGUUAACUUGAGUGUUGUAGAGGUAAGUGGAACUCCAUGUGUAGCGGUGGAAUGCGUAGAUAUAUGGAAGAACACCAGUGGCGAAGGCGGCUUACUGGACAACAACUGACGUUGAGGCUCGAAAGUGUGGGUAGCAAACAGGAUUAGAUACCCUGGUAGUCCACACCGUAAACGAUGAAUACUAGGUGUUAGGAGGUUUCCGCCUCUUAGUGCCGAAGCUAACGCAUUAAGUAUUCCGCCUGGGGAGUACGACCGCAAGGUUGAAACUCAAAGGAAUUGACGGGGACCCGCACAAGCGGUGGAGCAUGUGGUUUAAUUCGAAGCAACGCGAAGAACCUUACCAGGUCUUGACAUCCUUUGAAGCUUUUAGAGAUAGAAGUGUUCUCUUCGGAGACAAAGUGACAGGUGGUGCAUGGUCGUCGUCAGCUCGUGUCGUGAGAUGUUGGGUUAAGUCCCGCAACGAGCGCAACCCUUAUUGUUAGUUGCCAGCAUUCAGUUGGGCACUCUAGCGAGACUGCCGGUGACAAACCGGAGGAAGGCGGGGACGACGUCAGAUCAUCAUGCCCCUUAUGACCUGGGCUACACACGUGCUACAAUGGCGUAUACAACGAGUUGCCAACCUGCGAAGGUGAGCUAAUCUCUUAAAGUACGUCUCAGUUCGGACUGCAGUCUGCAACUCGACUGCACGAAGUCGGAAUCGCUAGUAAUCGCGGAUCAGCCC
This 979-nucleotide ribosomal RNA is filed under the name Leuconostoc citreum. RNAcentral describes it as "bacterial SSU rRNA". It matches the Rfam family "Bacterial small subunit ribosomal RNA", at positions 383 to 1355 of the family's 1533-position model. Lineage: Bacteria; Bacillati; Bacillota; Bacilli; Lactobacillales; Lactobacillaceae. The record is from RNAcentral.